This 1343-nucleotide ribosomal RNA is filed under the name uncultured bacterium. RNAcentral's name for it is "16S ribosomal RNA". It matches the Rfam family "Bacterial small subunit ribosomal RNA", at positions 28 to 1378 of the family's 1533-position model. The record is from RNAcentral.
GACGAACGCUGGCGGCGUGCUUAACACAUGCAAGUCGAACGGAAAGGCCCUGCUUUUGUGGGGUGCUCGAGUGGCGAACGGGUGAGUAACACGUGAGUAACCUGCCCUUGACUUUGGGAUAACUUCAGGAAACUGGGGCUAAUACCGGAUAGGAGCUCCUGCUGCAUGGUGGGGGUUGGAAAGUUUCGACGGUUGGGGAUGGACUCGCGGCUUAUCAGCUUGUUGGUGGGGUAGUGGCUUACCAAGGCUUUGACGGGUAGCCGGCCUGAGAGGGUGACCGGCCACAUUGGGACUGAGAUACGGCCCAGACUCCUACGGGAGGCAGCAGUGGGGAAUAUUGCACAAUGGGCGGAAGCCUGAUGCAGCAACGCCGCGUGCGGGAUGACGGCCUUCGGGUUGUAAACCGCUUUCGCCUGUGACGAAGCGUGAGUGACGGUAAUGGGUAAAGAAGCACCGGCUAACUACGUGCCAGCAGCCGCGGUGAUACGUAGGGUGCGAGCGUUGUCCGGAUUUAUUGGGCGUAAAGGGCUCGUAGGUGGUUGAUCGCGUCGGAAGUGUAAUCUUGGGGCUUAACCCUGAGCGUGCUUUCGAUACGGGUUGACUUGAGGAAGGUAGGGGAGAAUGGAAUUCCUGGUGGAGCGGUGGAAUGCGCAGAUAUCAGGAGGAACACCAGUGGCGAAGGCGGUUCUCUGGGCCUUUCCUGACGCUGAGGAGCGAAAGCGUGGGGAGCGAACAGGCUUAGAUACCCUGGUAGUCCACGCUGUAAACGGUGGGUACUAGGUGUGGGGUCCAUUCCACGGGUUCCGUGCCGUAGCUAACGCUUUAAGUACCCCGCCUGGGGAGUACGGCCGCAAGGCUAAAACUCAAAGGAAUUGACGGGGCCCCGCACAAGCGGCGGAGCAUGCGGAUUAAUUCGAUGCAACGCGUAGAACCUUACCUGGGUUUGACAUGGAUCGGGAGCGCUCAGAGAUGGGUGUGCCUCUUUUGGGGUCGGUUCACAGGUGGUGCAUGGCUGUCGUCAGCUCGUGUCGUGAGAUGUUGGGUUAAGUCCCGCAACGAGCGCAACCCUUGUUCACUGUUGCCAGCACGUUAUGGUGGGGACUCAGUGGAGACCGCCGGGGUCAACUCGGAGGAAGGUGGGGAUGACGUCAAGUCAUCAUGCCCCUUAUGUCCAGGGCUUCACGCAUGCUACAAUGGCUGGUACAGAGAGUGGCGAGCCUGUGAGGGUGAGCGAAUCUCGGAAAGCCGGUCUCAGUUCGGAUUGGGGUCUGCAACUCGACCUCAUGAAGUCGGAGUCGCUAGUAAUCGCAGAUCAGCAACGCUGCGGUGAAUACGUUCCCGGG